CACAACCCGAUUAAUUUAAUAACCCAAAACCGGCCCACUUAACAGCUAUACCCUAGAUAGGAAGGUGUGGAUAACACGAAUUAGGUCGGUAGAACGCUAAUAGGACGGAGUGUGUCGUGGCUAGUAUGUAGGAGUGCUUAUGUCAUGCUAUACUGGUAAUUUCUUAUUCUGCUUUUUACUUUCUUAAAUUUUGUAUUAAGUCAAAUAUGACCGAUGGACAAAUAAUCGUACCUUACUUGAAAAAAGUUAUAUAGCAUUAUU
This 261-nucleotide long non-coding RNA is filed under the name Capsicum annuum. Its description in RNAcentral is "long non-coding RNA (CANN_LNC016510)". Lineage: Eukaryota; Viridiplantae; Streptophyta; Magnoliopsida; Solanales; Solanaceae. The record is from RNAcentral.